CCUGCUGAGGAACAACUCUCAAGUGUAGAUAGUACACCGGGGAAGAGCUGCGCUAUCUGCGUUUUAAUUUUUUCCACAAUUUACGACGCGAUAAGCAGCUGAUUUUCUAAUACUACAUCUGGAGAUAUGGAGAUUAUUUUUCGAGUACUUCUCUAUGUACUUACGACUGUACUGUACGUCUUUUGACGGAUGCCCGGAUAAAUCACCCAGAACAGAGAGAUAUCGAUAGUAUCGAUUUAGUACGAUGCAUCGAUAUCGAAAUCGAGAAUCGUAAUUAUUGUGAUAUCUUCAGUUGCGAGAUCUUCAGUUCGACGAGCGUCCCGCGUCUUCUCCAGAUUUCGGCUCGUUGAAGAUGGUUGGUUCUUGCAGUACGAGCAUCCAAGGAAAGAAACAGAGAUACAGAUCAGCGCGGCAGGACUGAAAUAUUUUUGUGGCUGUACUGUGGACUACGAUGAGUUGCGGAUUGCGGCACAAACGCAGCACAAUGCAGCACAAUUCGAAAAAUGCGGGGUCAGCUUCACACACGUGGAGGAAUCUCAAGAGUAAAGAUGCAGAAUCCAGCGGAACAGGACAUCGACAGCCGGUCACGCGUAUCAUCCUCGACGACGACAGAGAUGCAACGAGCGACGUUGUGCCAUCAAGUAAGUGAUAGCUUAGGUAAUUAUUCAAAGUAACCGACUGUCGAGUUCACUGCGAAACGCUGUCGCUAAACUCGAAGCCGGAACUCUGUCCUGAAAUCGUUGAUAGGAUUUGGGAUAUUUCUGGAGGAGAAAAUGUUGCCAAGAAAAUUAUAGGAGAGACACGACUCUGCGGUGGUCUCGUAUAUUUACAGAUUAUUCGUAGUUCAUAAUCAAUAGUAAUCAUUAUAUAAUAUGUAUAUAUCAACAAAAUAAUAUUUUAGUCGUUCUUACGUCGCUAAUAAAAAAAAAGAACUAGAGGCUAAACAGUCGCAGAGUCUCGAUUCUAA
This is a long non-coding RNA of Harpegnathos saltator (Jerdon's jumping ant), 967 nucleotides long. RefSeq lists it as uncharacterized. The record is from RefSeq and is a predicted model, not a curated record. The transcript has 3 exons. NCBI's taxonomy places the organism in Eukaryota, Metazoa, Arthropoda, Insecta, Hymenoptera, Formicidae.